AGAGUUUGAUCAUGGCUCAGGAUGAACGCUAGCUACAGGCUUAACACAUGCAAGUCGAGGGGCAUCGAGAAGAAAGCUUGCUUCUUGUCGGCGACCGGCGCACGGGUGAGUAACGCGUAUCCAACCUUCCCUAUACUAGAGAAUAGCCCGGCGAAAGUCGGAUUAAUGCUCUAUGUUCUUCCUUGAUGGCAUCUGAUUGGAAGCAAAGGCUUGCCGGUAUAGGAUGGGGAUGCGUCUGAUUAGCUUGUUGGCGGGGUAACGGCCCACCAAGGCAACGAUCAGUAGGGGUUCUGAGAGGAAGGUCCCCCACAUUGGUACUGAGACACGGACCAAACUCCUACGGGAGGCAGCAGUGAGGAAUAUUGGUCAAUGGGCGAGAGCCUGAACCAGCCAAAGUAGCGUGCAGGAAGACUGCCCUAUGGGUUGUAAACUGCUUUUAUAGGGGAAUAAAGUGAGGUACGUGUACCUUUUUGUAUGUACCCUAUGAAUAAGGACCGGCUAAUUCCGUGCCAGCCGCGGC
This 520-nucleotide ribosomal RNA is filed under the name uncultured bacterium. RNAcentral's name for it is "bacterial SSU rRNA". It matches the Rfam family "Bacterial small subunit ribosomal RNA", at positions 8 to 518 of the family's 1533-position model. The record is from RNAcentral.